CUUGAAUAUUAUUAUAGAAAGAGAUAAACUGUAAACAGCAAUAAUGUUCAGCAAAGUUAGAUUUACAAAUAAGUCAAAUGACCAAAAUGGUCAGUUGACCCCUUUAGGAGUUAUGGACCUUUAUAGUCAAUUUUUAACCGUUUUUCGUAAAUCUUAGAAAUCUUUUACAAAAAUCUUCUUCUCUGAAACUACUGGGCCAAAUUAAUCCAAGCUUGGCCACAAUCAUCUUUAGGGUAUCUAGUUUAAAAAAUGUGUGGUGUGACCCGGCCAACCAACC
RNAcentral lists this long non-coding RNA (277 nucleotides) under Mytilus galloprovincialis (Mediterranean mussel). Lineage: Eukaryota; Metazoa; Mollusca; Bivalvia; Mytilida; Mytilidae. The record is from RNAcentral.